Molecule: non-coding RNA, 73 nt
Organism: Eriocheir sinensis (Chinese mitten crab)
Lineage: Eukaryota; Metazoa; Arthropoda; Malacostraca; Decapoda; Varunidae
Source: the annotation of a RefSeq genome assembly
CACAUGGUAGCUCAGGGGUAGAGCAUCUGGCUCCCAACCAGAAGGACCGGGGUUCGAUUGCCCGGCCGGGUGA